UACGUAGGGUGCGAGCGUUGUCCGGAAUUAUUGGGCGUAAAGGGCUCGUAGGCGGUCUGUUGCGUCGGGAGUGAAAACUCAGGGCUUAACCCUGAGCCUGCUUCCGAUACGGGCAGACUAGAGGUAUGCAGGGGAGAACGGAAUUCCUGGUGUAGCGGUGAAAUGCGCAGAUAUCAGGAGGAACACCGGUGGCGAAGGCGGAUCUCUGGGCCAUUACUGACGCUGAGGAGCGAAAGCGUGGGGAGCGAACAGG
RNAcentral lists this ribosomal RNA (253 nucleotides) under uncultured bacterium. RNAcentral's name for it is "partial 16S ribosomal RNA". It matches the Rfam family "Bacterial small subunit ribosomal RNA", at positions 524 to 776 of the family's 1533-position model. The record is from RNAcentral.